UACAGAGGAUGCAAGCGUUAUCCGGAAUGAUUGGGCGUAAAGGGCGCGUAGGCGGUGAGAUGCGUCUGUUGUGAAAUCGCUCGACUCAACUGGGCGGGGUCAGCGGAUACGGUCUCACUUGAGCAAGCUAGGGGGCAAUGGAAUUCCCGGUGUAGUGGUGGAAUGCGUAGAUAUGUGGAGGAAUACCGAUGGCGAAGGCAGCCCCCUGGGAUAACACUGACGCUCAUGCACGAAAGCGUGGGGAGCAAACAGG
Molecule: ribosomal RNA, 253 nt
Filed under: uncultured bacterium
Lineage: Bacteria
Description: partial 16S ribosomal RNA
Rfam family: Bacterial small subunit ribosomal RNA
Source: RNAcentral